Molecule: transfer RNA, 82 nt
Filed under: Haemonchus contortus (barber pole worm)
Lineage: Eukaryota; Metazoa; Nematoda; Chromadorea; Rhabditida; Trichostrongylidae
Description: tRNA, Pseudo
Source: RNAcentral
UUCCAGGUGGCUCAGUGGUAAAGAAUCUGCCUGCCAGUGCAGGAGACACAAGAGAUGCAGGUUCAAUCCCUGAGUCGGGAAG